AAAUGAAGUAAAUUCCAGUAAUGAACAUGUGGAAGUGAAGGCAUCGAAAAUACCGCGUGUAGUUGCGAAUGAUUCAGAAACUUCUGUAUGGCCAAAGGCGAAGGCGCUGAAUGAAGGGGAUAGUCUGUACUCGUUAGUAAGCAAUUUCUUUCUCCCUUCAAUGAAAAAGGUUGAUCCUAGUUUUUCGAUCUCCGCAAUUCAUCAGUGUACCCGUACUGGGCCACUGGAAAAAGCUCGUCUCGAUGUGUUUCUGAAGCAGAAUGAGAUUACAACGGCUGCUCGUGGUGUGUCUAAUAUG
This 298-nucleotide unclassified non-coding RNA is filed under the name Hevea brasiliensis (rubber tree). The record is from RNAcentral. Lineage: Eukaryota; Viridiplantae; Streptophyta; Magnoliopsida; Malpighiales; Euphorbiaceae.